This 253-nucleotide ribosomal RNA is filed under the name uncultured bacterium. RNAcentral describes it as "partial 16S ribosomal RNA". It matches the Rfam family "Bacterial small subunit ribosomal RNA", at positions 524 to 776 of the family's 1533-position model. The record is from RNAcentral.
UACGGAGGGUGCAAGCGUUGUUCGGAAUCAUUGGGCGUAAAGAGCGCGCAGGCGGUCGUUCAAGUCGCGUGUGAAAGCCCCCGGCUCAACUGGGGAGGGUCACGCGAUACUGAUCGACUCGAAGGCAGGAGAGGGUAGUGGAAUUCCCGGUGUAGUGGUGAAAUGCGUAGAUAUCGGGAGGAACACCAGUGGCGAAGGCGACUACCUGGCCUGUUCUUGACGCUGAGGCGCGAAAGCUAGGGGAGCAAACGGG